UACGUAGGUGGCAAGCGUUGUCCGGAAUUACUGGGUGUAAAGCGCGUGUAGGCGGCAGACCAAGUCGGCGGUGAAAGCGCCCGGCUCAACUGGGCGAGGUCCGUGGAAACUGGUCAGCUGGAGGACGGUAGAGGCGAGUGGAAUUCCCGGUGUAGUGGUGAAAUGCGUAGAGAUCGGGAGGAACACCUGUGGCGAAGGCGGCUCGCUGGGCCGGUCCUGACGCUGAGGAGCGAAAGCGUGGGGAGCGAACAGG
This 253-nucleotide ribosomal RNA is filed under the name uncultured bacterium. RNAcentral describes it as "partial 16S ribosomal RNA". It matches the Rfam family "Bacterial small subunit ribosomal RNA", at positions 524 to 776 of the family's 1533-position model. The record is from RNAcentral.